Molecule: long non-coding RNA, 4528 nt
Organism: Diospyros lotus (date-plum)
Lineage: Eukaryota; Viridiplantae; Streptophyta; Magnoliopsida; Ericales; Ebenaceae
Exons: 2
Source: RefSeq, a predicted model, not a curated record
UAUUAAUUCAUUUUGUCAGAUUCAUCUGUUAAGUUAGCAUAAUCCAUCUACAUAUUUAUUUUUUGUUUUUUGGAUGUUGUCCAUUCCUGGAAGAGUAUUGAAUCAUUAUCUGGAAUAGUGUUUUGUCAUAUUCAUUACCAUGUUCUUCAGAAUUUUUACUAAUUUAAUCAGGAUGGCAUGGGCUUCUAUAAGUGCUUUAAGACAAAUCAUACAUAUUUGUUGCUACUGGUUAAGAUACUGGGUGCGAUUUAUGUAAUCUGGUAGUGCGAAUUAUAACUUUGAAGGUUGUUUGGAAGGUUAAACUUUGAUGGGUUUGGGGUCUGUCUAGAAAAGUUCGUCCUUUGUGGUGCUCAGUGGAUAGUAGUAUGGAAUUAGUGGAAUUAUUAUGUAGUUCAUCCUUUGGUAUUUGGAAGUAUGAAUAUUAAGUACCAUGCUUAGUGGUUUGGAAUUAUUGGAAUUUGCUAGAUGUGGAUGCCAUGCUAGAAUUUCUUGAGAAUCUCUGUUUGGUUCUACACCAUGAAAAGCGAAAGAGACCUAGAGGUGGUGGUUAUCAGAAGCAGGCUGUCUAGGGUAAGUCCUAUGGGACUCUUUAGGCGAGACGAGGUGUUUCCUUGUGAAGAAAUUAGGUUCUGGAAGCACCUUCUCAUGUGAAAUUUUCUGUUUGCUUGGAGCUCAUGGGAAGAUUCUCACUAUUGAGAAUUUGAUUACACAAACCAAUGUUGAAUUGGCAUUAUAUUUGUAAGCAAGAUGGAGACUCCAUUCAUCUCUUUAUCCAAUGAGUGUUACUUGGAAGCUCUGGUAACUAAUACUUAUCCUGUUCAGGAUGUAUUGGAUCUUUCCUAGAAGCAUAGACAACAUAAUUGGAUUAAAAAAAGUAGGGAAUUGGAAGUAGUCUUUGGUUUAGGUUUCUUGUUAUGUGAGGGUGGGAGGAACAUGGAUCUUUUGAAGGUUUUGAAAUUUCAACUAAUAAAUGGGGCAUUUUUUUUUUUCUGGCAGUUUUUCAGUUAGCCAACCCCACCUAGUGGGAUUAAGGCUUGUGAUUCUUGUUACUGUUGUCCAGUAGUUAUGUUAAUUGGGUGUUAGCUUUAUGUCCCCCGACAUUGUGCAUUUUAAGAUAUUGUACGGUCUUAGGAGCCUACAAGUAUGUGGUUCCAUUUUAGCUUUUGUUUUAGUGUAUGCAUAUAAUAGACAGCUGUCUUGCUGCUGCUUGUUGUACAUAUAAUCUUUUACCUAUUAACUUGAAUAUUAUUUUUGAUCUAUCAGAUCAAGAAAAAUUUGCAGACUAUUUUUGGUGCUCAAUCAGGUGAGAACAUGUCAUAGAAUUGCAUAGUUCACCUAAUCCUGACUAACAAGCCAACAACAAUAACAUAUCUAGCUUUUAUCCCACUAUGUGGGGUCGGCUACAUGAAUUCUAGACUUCCAUGUAUUUCUGUCUUUUGUCAUAUCUUCAUUUAGGUUUAUACACUUCAUAUCAAACUUUAAUGUCUCUCCCAAAGUCUUCUUGGGUCUACCUCUUUUUUUGAUUAAAUGUUUCAUUUCAUCAACUCUCCUCACAUGAGUGUCUUUUGGUCUCCUCCUCAUGUGAUCAAACCAUCUUAGUCUAUUCUCUCUCAUCUUCUCCUCGAUUGGCAUUACUCCUACCUUAUUACGAAUAACCUCAUUUCUAAUUUUAUCUUUUCUUGUAUGACCGCAUAUCCAUCUUAGCAUCCUCAUCUUCGCUAUGCUCGUCUUUUGCUCAUGCUGGUAUUUGACUGCCCAACAUUCUGAGCCAUACAACAGGGCUGGUCUUAUACCUGUCCUAUAGAAUUUUCCUUUCAGUUUUAAUGAGACCUGACUAACAAGCCAUUAGAGUUAAAACCACAACCUUGCCCUUCUUGCUAGUACUGUGACAACACUUUAACCUUUGAGGCACGUGUUGGUUUCUUGGAACCAUGCAAAAGUGUUUAUAAAAUGUUUUAGGUUUCUCACAAAUCCAAAAUUGAUUGUCGAAGUUGGAGAACAAAAUAGAAGUAAUUUCUAUGCUAAACUUGUAGCUGCCUAGUUUGAGGAGACAAUGAAAGCUCCUCCAUAAAUCUUGAUAUUCAAUUUAGAAUCUUGAAUCUAACUGGAAAGUUAAAUCUGAACUUUUUGUCUCUAAGUAUGUGAAUGUGUGAGGGUGAGCCUUGGUAGGAAUGAUAAAGUUGCUCCGAUGACUGGAAGGUCCCGAUGACUAGAAGGUCACAAGUUGUGGAAAUAGGCUCUUCACCACCCCCCGGCCAAAAAAAAAAAAAAAAAAAGAGCAAGGAGAAGACUUUGUACAAAUAUGACCUUCCUCCAACCCUCACAAAGCAAGGAGCCUCGUACUUUGAGGACGCGCUUAAAGUAUAUUAAUGGGUUUACUUUAUAACUGGCAUUCUUCAAUUUUGUUACUUUGGACAAAUGAGCUAAGGCUGGUGGGAACCAUACAAUCUCUUUGUAUAGUAGAAGAACAAAAAUUAAAAUUUGCCAAAAAAUUUCUCUUUGUAGCCGGCCACAUUUUGAUUCAUGAGGGAGUAAUUUUUUUUUUUGUAAAUAUAAGGGAGUAAAUGUUAGGAUAAGUCUUAUAUUCUAUGUGUAAGUGUGGGAUAUAUACUGUUUCCCAAGUCCUAGCCACUAUGAAUAUAACUUGUUUACAUGUUUGCCCAUAAUAGACAAAUAAGUUAGUUAAUUACCAUCCAUACAUUGUAUGGUUGUAAUUAUUCUCAUAGAACAACUUGGAUAAAUCAAAGUGUAAACCAUUAAGGGACAAGUUCUUUAAUUUUUUAGGGUUUAAGCUUGCUUUUUUACUAGCAGUAUUAAUACCCCAUAUUGGCAUGAGGUUGCCACGUAAUUUAGAUGAGUUUAAAAUACCGAAAAGUUGGUUUGAUAGUAAAAUAAAUCGUCAAAUCGGUGACAGGGAAUGCCUCAGAAUUUAGAUGUCUAAAGAAAAGGGUAUGACAUUGACGAGCAUCUUGAGGCAAGAUUUAUGAUGCCAAAAAGAAUCGGAUCAGAGACAGUUUUUGUUAUAGCUAUGAUUCGACUCGAGAAACCAAAUGAUCGAAAGAGACUUCCGAGAAGUCAAUGGGACCUGAGUAGGUUCAUAUUUAGCAUGAGGAGCAACCUUAAGUGGUUUCGGGAAGAAACAGAGGUAAUUUCGAUCAAAACACGAUCUUACGUAUAUUCGGGCCUAAAUGUAAUUUAUUAAUUUUAGUUGAGGGAGGUCGAAACGAUGGUUUUUCUGAAUCUUUGGGGGAUGAAAUGAAGGUUUUAUAUCUUGUGGGACUUAAUGGAAUUGUUGGAUAACUCAGGUGCUUCAAGGAGAGGGCCAAAAUGCAAAGGAAAUUUUAAGGGGGCCAAAGUGUAAAAUCUGAAACUUCUACACAAGGCAUGGCCUAUCUGAUUGCCGCAUGGCAGCCAAAAAUCUGGUAAUGGGACGACCGAUCUCGUUAGAGCAUGGCCACCUUCGUCCUAGGAAGCUUGUGGGCUACGCAAGGGUCGAUGAUUGGUCGAGAAAUGACCGGAUUUUGCCUGUGAAUAGGCGAUGGUUUUGGCCGAAUAUCGAGCAUCAAGUUUCUCAAGUUUGAGGGUGAUUCGAGGGAAGCCAAUAAGGGGCUUUUGUUCCUUGAGUUAAGAGGGUAAGUUCUGGAAAGUUUGGGUCGAUUUGGUAUAGAAUCGAGCGGGUUUUAAGCAUCGUCGAAAAAUGCAGAAGCUUGUCGGAGCCAAGGUUUAAAACGCUCAAUCGAGGCACCUCCGAUCACUAUUUUGAGCAUCCAAGGGGUGCCCUAGGAUCGAUUCAACUAGAUCUUCGUGGGGGUGUCGUCGGAUUAGCCAUUGGGGGUCACCGAUUGCUGAAGGAGACAACCGGAGAAGGUAAGAAAAAUAAAAAAAAAUAAAAAAAUAGAAGAAAAUUCUGGAAAAAUUGAAAAAUUAUUUUCUGGAUUUUGGUGGAGGAAAAUUCUGGAAAAUAUUGGAGGAAUUAUUUAUUUUGUAAUUUUUGAUGAAAAAAAGGAAAUUAUGAAAAAUAGGAGAAAAAUAUGAAAAAAUUCCAAAAAUUAGUAAUAUUAUUUUAUGAAUUAUUAUGGAAAAAAAUUGAAAAAAUACUUGAGCAGGCAGUUAUUUUAGAAUUUUUGAGAAAAAAAUAGGGAGAAAUUAUGAGAAAAUUAUGGAAAAAAUAGAUAUUGAUAUUCUUUUGAAUGAAUAUGAUGUCUAGGGAUCGUUGAGGCUCGAGGUUGAGCAUUAGUAUGAUUAUUUGAAGACUGACAUGAAAAUCGAGGUUGGCACGAGAAUCGAUGUGGUCUAAGAUACGUUCAAUGUGAGAGUCCUUACCCCAAACUUGAUUUACUGUGAAAGUGGUAGCGCCAGAGGAAAGGAAGUUCUCAAGAUGUAGCUGAUAGCUAUGUAUUAGAUCUUUUGUAGGUCUUUUAUUAUGUAAGAGAUAUUCAGCUAUAGGUGUAUUAUUUUGAUGAUGUCAUGUUAAACAUUGAUGAUACGAUUUCUAUGUUAUGAAUAAAUGAAUUACGAUUGUGUAUUA